GAUGAACGCUGGCGGCGUGCCUAAUACAUGCAAGUCGAGCGAACAGACGAGGAGCUUGCUCCUCUGACGUUAGCGGCGGACGGGUGAGUAACACGUGGAUAACCUACCUAUAAGACUGGGAUAACUUCGGGAAACCGGAGCUAAUACCGGAUAAUAUAUUGAACCGCAUGGUUCAAUAGUGAAAGACGGUUUUGCUGUCACUUAUAGAUGGAUCCGCGCCGCAUUAGCUAGUUGGUAAGGUAACGGCUUACCAAGGCAACGAUGCGUAGCCGACCUGAGAGGGUGAUCGGCCCCACUGGAACUGAGACCCGGUCCAGACUCCUACGGGAGGCAGCAGUAGGGAAUCUUCCGCAAUGGGCGAAAGCUUGACGGAGCAACGCCGCGGGAGUGAUGAAGGUCUUCGGAUCGUAAAACUUUUUUAUUAGGGAAGAAAAAAUGUGUAAGUAACUAUGCACGUUUUGACGGUACCUAAUCAGAAAGCCACGGCUAACUACGU
This 496-nucleotide ribosomal RNA is filed under the name uncultured bacterium. Its description in RNAcentral is "partial 16S ribosomal RNA". It matches the Rfam family "Bacterial small subunit ribosomal RNA", at positions 28 to 506 of the family's 1533-position model. The record is from RNAcentral.